Molecule: ribosomal RNA, 459 nt
Filed under: uncultured bacterium
Lineage: Bacteria
Description: bacterial SSU rRNA
Rfam family: Bacterial small subunit ribosomal RNA
Source: RNAcentral
GAUGAACGCUGGCGGCGUGCCUAACACAUGCAAGUCGCGGGAGAAGUACCUUCGGGUACGGAAACCGGCGCACGGGUGAGUAACACGUAGCUUAUCUGCCCCUUAGCGGUGGAUAACCUUUGGAAACAGAGGCUAAUACACCAUAAGCUCACGGACUGUAGAGGUCUGCGAGAAAAGUUCAGGCGCUAAGGGAUGAGGCUGCGAGCCAUCAGCUAGUUGGUGAGGUAAAGGCUUACCAAGGCGACGACGGCUAGGGGACCUGAGAGGGUGACCCCCCACACUGGAACUGAGACACGGUCCAGACUUCUACGGAAGGCAGCAGUGAGGAAUAUUGCACAAUGGGCGCAAGCCUGAUGCAGCGACGCCGCGUGGGUGAAGAAGGAUUUCGGUCUGUAAAGCCCUUUUCUGUGUGACGAGAAUGGACGGUAGCACAGGAAUAAGUCUCGGCUAACUACGUGC